Non-coding RNA from Podarcis lilfordi (Lilford's wall lizard), 73 nucleotides. Lineage: Eukaryota; Metazoa; Chordata; Lepidosauria; Squamata; Lacertidae. The record is from the annotation of a GenBank genome assembly.
UCUUUAGCUCACUUGGUAGCACAUGAGACUCUUAAUCUCAGGUUUGUGGGUUUGAGCCCCACGUCGGGCAAAA